Molecule: microRNA precursor, 161 nt
Organism: Setaria italica (foxtail millet)
Lineage: Eukaryota; Viridiplantae; Streptophyta; Magnoliopsida; Poales; Poaceae
Source: Rfam
GCGAGGAGAGUGAGCCAGGCUAGCCAAGGAGACUGCCGGUGAGACCACCCCAAGGCUCAUCGACGACCAUCUGCUGAUGACGACGACGAUCCUUUCAGGGAAAGAUCAGGUCGACACAGGCAAGUCAUCCUUGGCUACCAGAGCUACUAAAACCCUCAUCG